Molecule: long non-coding RNA, 1084 nt
Organism: Globicephala melas (long-finned pilot whale)
Lineage: Eukaryota; Metazoa; Chordata; Mammalia; Artiodactyla; Delphinidae
Source: RefSeq, a predicted model, not a curated record
UUGAGGCUUCGCCCUCCGGAAGCUCUGCCCACCUCGGCCCUCUAACCCAAGUCCCAGCGGUCUAGAUGGCGUCGCUGGGUUAGAGGAAAACGGCCCUGGUCGAGCCGCUCAGCUCUCUCACCUCGGGUUGUGGCUUAGGUUCAGCGCGAUCCAGGGUACGAAGCGGUACUUGUAACGACGCCAUCGCUGCCAGAGGCCGCGCAGCAGGCGGCCCGGCAUGGCUGUUCUGUGGUGCCGUGAAGAGGACGGCACUGGGGAGGCGGGUUUUCUCGGGCCCGCCCCGACCCGAGGAGGAGCAGAGGCCGCGCCGUCCCUCCCCUUCGCGGUCUCAGCACUCAGUGCCGCGCUCGGCGGCCCCGGUACCUCCUGGCCUCCUGUCGCCGUGUCUCCGUGCCUCUGCUUUAUUGACCCCAGCUCGCUGAAACAGAGAGUGAAUUAUAAUGACAUACUAUCAAAUGUUGCACCAUCCUUGGAUUCCUGAGAUAACCCUACUCAAUUGUGACUGAGGAAGUUAUAUAAGCAUGGGGAGACCUGGAGGAGAUUACGGCAGGGGAGAGGCGCUGGGGAUCAGCUCGGAGGACUAAUACUACCCACUCUGCACAGACUGUGUGUUUUAAGUGCUUUACUCUCAGGCCCAGAGGCACUGGGGAAACUUUUUUUCUCCUUACUCCUGGAGAUUCAGAUUUCACUGUGCGGCCUGAUGGGGAGCUGCCAGGGGAAGGACUGCGUCGGCCUUUGGGAGCUGAGGAAGCAGCGCUUGCGUGGCCUUCUCCUUGAGACUCAGCUGCCAAGCCAUUCGUGCUUCCAGGCUGGCAUACAGGUUGCCUUCAGUUUCUCCCUGAUCAUUCGUUCUUCUGGGCGAUCGUCCAUCUUGUGCAACCCCUUGAGAGUUUCUUUAUUCUCCAUCUCACGACUAAAAUGGAAGGAGAAUGAGAUUUAUAUAUGAAAAAAAAUUUCCAAGAACAAUACGGUUCUAUUUCAUACUUUCAAUGGACAUGUAACUAAAAAGAUAACUGUUAAAACCCCUAAAUGAUUUAAGCAAGAUAUGAAAAUACCAUUGUGAAUCACAUUAUAUUGUUGAAAU